GAUCAUGGCUCAGGAUGAACGCUAGCGAUAGGCCUAACACAUGCAAGUCGAGGGGCAGCACAUGAAGCAGCAAUGCGGAUGGUGGCGACCGGCGCACGGGUGAGUAACGCGUAUGCAACCUACCUACAACAGGGGAAUAACCCGUUGAAAGACGGACUAAUACCCCAUAACACAGGGAUCCCGCAUGGGAAUAUUUGUUAAAGAUUUAUCGGUUGUAGAUGGGCAUGCGUCUGAUUAGCUAGUUGGUAGGGUAACGGCCUACCAAGGCUACGAUCAGUAGGGGGCGUGAGAGCGUGGCCCCCCACACGGGUACUGAGACACGGACCCGACUCCUACGGGAGGCAGCAGUAAGGAAUAUUGGGCAAUGGACGGAAGUCUGACCCAGCCAUCCCGCGUGCAGGACGAAUGCCCUAUGGGUUGUAAACUGCUUUUGUUUGGGAAGAGAUGUAUUCUUUUAAGAGUAUUUGACGGUACCAGACGAAUAAGCACCGGCUAACUCCGUG
Molecule: ribosomal RNA, 503 nt
Filed under: uncultured bacterium
Lineage: Bacteria
Description: bacterial SSU rRNA
Rfam family: Bacterial small subunit ribosomal RNA
Source: RNAcentral